GCCUGGGUGGCUCAGUCGGUUAAGCGUCUGACUUUGGCUCAGGUUAUGAUCUCGUGGUCCUUGGGUUCGAGCCCCGUGUCAGGCU
This 85-nucleotide transfer RNA is filed under the name Felis catus (domestic cat). It matches the Rfam family "tRNA". From Rfam's summary of the family: Transfer RNA (tRNA) molecules are approximately 80 nucleotides in length. Their secondary structure includes four short double-helical elements and three loops (D, anti-codon, and T loops). Further hydrogen bonds mediate the characteristic L-shaped molecular structure. tRNAs have two regions of fundamental functional importance: the anti-codon, which is responsible for specific mRNA codon recognition, and the 3' end, to which the tRNAs corresponding amino acid is attached (by aminoacyl-tRNA synthetases). tRNAs cope with the degeneracy of the genetic code in two manners: having more than one tRNA (with a specific anti-codon) for a particular amino acid; and 'wobble' base-pairing, i.e. permitting non-standard base-pairing at the 3rd anti-codon position. Lineage: Eukaryota; Metazoa; Chordata; Mammalia; Carnivora; Felidae. The record is from Rfam by way of RNAcentral.